ACUCCUGUUUCUAGCGGCGGACGGGUGAGUAACGCGUGAGCAACCUGCCUUUAUCAGGGGGAUAACGCAUCGAAAGAUGUGCUAAUACCGCGUAAGACCACAGCCUCACAUGGGGCAGGGGUCAAAGGAGCAAUCCGGAUAAAGAUGGGCUCGCGUCCGAUUAGCUAGUUGGUGAGAUAACAGCCCACCAAGGCGACGAUCGGUAGCCGACCUGAGAGGGUGAUCGGCCACAUUGGAACUGAGAGACGGUCCAGACUCCUACGGGAGGCAGCAGUGGGGAAUAUUGGGCAAUGGGCGAAAGCCUGACCCAGCAACGCCGCGUGAGGGAAGAAGGGUUUCGGCUCGUAAACCUCUGUCCUAUGGGACGAAGGAAGUGACGGUACCAUAGGAGGAAGCCCCGGCUAACUACGUGCCAGCAGCCGCGGUAAUACGUAGGGGGCGAGCGUUGUCCGGAAUGAUUGGGCGUAAAGGGCGCGUAGGCGGCCUGCUAAGUCUGAAGUGAAAGUCCUGCUUUCAAGGUGGGAAGUGCUUUGGAUACUGGUGGGCUGGAGUGCAGGAGAGGAAAGCGGAAUUACCGGUGUAGCGGUGAAAUGCGUAGAGAUCGGUAGGAACACCAGUGGCGAAGGCGGCUUUCUGGACUGAAACUGACGCUGAGGCGCGAAAGCGUGGGGAGCAAACAGGAUUAGAUACCCUGGUAGUCCACGCGGUAAACGAUGAA
RNAcentral lists this ribosomal RNA (718 nucleotides) under uncultured bacterium. Its description in RNAcentral is "bacterial SSU rRNA". It matches the Rfam family "Bacterial small subunit ribosomal RNA", at positions 82 to 813 of the family's 1533-position model. The record is from RNAcentral.